CUCUCUAGCACUUAUUAGAAAAUACUCUGCAAUUAAAUUCUGAUUUAUCAGAAUUUAAAUGCAAUUUGGGCAGAACCUCCUUUCUUGGGUUUGCUGUCACACUGUUGGACCUUUUCUUCCCUUUCUUUCUUGCUCCUUGUCUCUUUAAUUUUUAUUCCAAUUCUCUAAGCCUUUUGGAAGAUUUCUUGUCCUUUAUCAGGACCUUAUCUAGGCUAGAGAGAAGGAAUAAAGAAAAUUGGACAAGCAGAGCCUCUUGUAAGAAAGAAAGAAGAUUUCUGAAUACCCGAGACUCCUCGACGUGCACCCCUAUUUAUAUUGCAUGUAAAGGUGCAAUCCAAAACAUCUCACACCCUCUUACAAAUUAUCUCAUGCCCUUGUCUAUUUCUCACACCCCAUUAGUUAAGAAAUGCCAUGUGUACAUCAAAAUUGGGUUGAAGAAAUGCCUUAUUUCAGAAAGACUCUUCGAUCUUAACUUACGGUGUUUAGAUGAGAAGUCACGAAGCUUCUCUUAUUGGCACCAUCAACCCAUGCCUUUGGAUUUGGAAGAAAGCCCAUCCAAUGGCCAAGAUAUAUGGUGCCAAUUUGAAUAAUGGCGUAAGAGAUUAAUGGGCAUGGAUAAUUUAAAACUUAUCUCCCCAUUUGAAAUUUCAAAGGGGCGCUUCCAAGAGGUGGCGCAUGGAUUUAAUCCUUAUCCUUUUCUUAAUUCUUCUACAAUGAGUUUAAUACUCAGAAGGACUCUUAGGCACCUCCUAAGACAUCUGAAAUACAUUCAUAGAAUAAAGGUUACGGAGAAAAAUAGGAUAGACCUUAUCUAAAGGUGGCGCCAACUCCAUCCAUGCGCCAUGUGGCUCAUGCGCAUG
Molecule: long non-coding RNA, 860 nt
Filed under: Elaeis guineensis (African oil palm)
Lineage: Eukaryota; Viridiplantae; Streptophyta; Magnoliopsida; Arecales; Arecaceae
Description: long non-coding RNA (EGUI_LNC067885)
Source: RNAcentral